This 254-nucleotide ribosomal RNA is filed under the name uncultured bacterium. RNAcentral's name for it is "partial 16S ribosomal RNA". It matches the Rfam family "Bacterial small subunit ribosomal RNA", at positions 524 to 776 of the family's 1533-position model. The record is from RNAcentral.
UACGUAGGGGGCAAGCGUUGUUCGGAUUUACUGGGCGUAAAGGGCGCGUAGGCGGCGCGUAAAGUCUGACAUGAAAUCAUUGGGCUUAACCCCAUGGAUGUGCCCGAUACUUGCGUGCUUAGAGUGCGGGAGAGGCAAUCGGAAUUCUCGGUGUAGCGGUGAAAUGCGUAGAUAUCGAGAGGAACUCCGGUGACGAAGGUGGGUUGCUGGACCGACACUGACGCUGAGGCGCGAAAGCUAGGGGAGCAAACGGG